Helianthus annuus (common sunflower) is the source of this 263-nucleotide long non-coding RNA. RefSeq lists it as uncharacterized. The transcript has 3 exons. NCBI's taxonomy places the organism in Eukaryota, Viridiplantae, Streptophyta, Magnoliopsida, Asterales, Asteraceae. The record is from RefSeq and is a predicted model, not a curated record.
UCGAUCAGAACAGGGAGAAAAGGGGAUUUAACCCUAGUUCUUGAAAUCAGCCAAAUCAAAGAGUAUUUCAUGGAAAUCGAACUGCAUAGGCUAAGAAUUUCGACCAUCUAAACCAAUCGAUUGAAGUGGCGUGAAGGAAGAAGGUUCCAAUACUAGGAAAUCGGAAGGUUCACAAGAUCGAGGAUGGAAAUCUUGUCAGUUGAUUCAAGUAUGGAUGGCAAACGGGGUAAGAGGAAGCAAUGAGGCAAGCAUGAACAUGAACA